AGGACGAACGCUGGCGGCGUGCUUAACACAUGCAAGUCGAGCGGAAAGGCCCUUCGGGGUACUCGAGCGGCGAACGGGUGAGUAACACGUGAGUAAUCUGCCCCUAGCUCUGGGAUAGCUCCGGGAAACCGGGAUUAAUACCGGAUACGACCACCUUAGACAUCUUUUGUGGUGGAAAGAAUUUCGGCUAGGGAUGAGCUCGCGGCCUAUCAGCUUGUUGGUGGGGUAACGGCCUACCAAGGCGACGACGGGUAGCCGGCCUGAGAGGGCGACCGGCCACGACUGGGACUGAGACACGGCCCAGACUCCUACGGGAGGCAGCAGUGGGGAAUAUUGCGCAAUGGGCGAAAGCCUGACGCAGCGACGCCGCGUGGGGGAUGAAGGCCUUCGGGUUGUAAACCCCUUUCAGCAGGGACGAAGCGAAAGUGACGGUACCUGCAGAAGAAGCGCCGGCUAACUACGUGCUAGCAGCCGC
RNAcentral lists this ribosomal RNA (475 nucleotides) under uncultured bacterium. RNAcentral describes it as "SSU rRNA". It matches the Rfam family "Bacterial small subunit ribosomal RNA", at positions 26 to 518 of the family's 1533-position model. The record is from RNAcentral.